UACGGGAGGCAGCAGUGGGGAAUAUUGCACAAUGGGCGCAAGCCUGAUGCAGCCAUGCCGCGUGUAUGAAGAAGGCCUUCGAGUUGUAAAGUACUUUCAGUCGUGAGGAAGGUGUUAAGGUUAAUAACCUUAGCAAUUGACGUUAGCGACAGAAGAAGCACCGGCUAACUCCGUGCCAGCAGCCGCGGUAAUACGGAGGGUGCGAGCGUUAAUCGGAAUUACUGGGCGUAAAGGGCACGCAGGCGGUUAAUUAAGUUGGAUGUGAAAUCCCCGGGCUUAACCUGGGAAUGGCAUUCAAGACUGGUUAGCUAGAGUCUUGUAGAGGGGGUAGAAUUCCAUGUGUAGCGGUGAAAUGCGUAGAGAUGUGGAGGAAUACCGGUGGCGAAGGCGGCCCCUGGGACAAAGACUGACGCUCAUGUGCGAAAGCGUGGGGAGCAAACAGGAUUAGGAUACC
Molecule: ribosomal RNA, 454 nt
Filed under: uncultured bacterium
Lineage: Bacteria
Description: bacterial SSU rRNA
Rfam family: Bacterial small subunit ribosomal RNA
Source: RNAcentral